ACGCUCGACACCUACGAGAGGCAGCAGUGGGGAAUAUUGCACAAUGGGGGAAACCCUGAUGCAGCGACGCCGCGUGAAGGAAGAAGUAUUUCGGUAUGUAAACUUCUAUCAGCAGGGAAGAAAAUGACGGUACCUGAGUAAGAAGCACCGGCUAAAUAACGUGCCAGCAGCCGCGGUAAUCUGAGCGGGCUGGCAAGGC
RNAcentral lists this ribosomal RNA (199 nucleotides) under uncultured bacterium. RNAcentral describes it as "partial 16S ribosomal RNA". It matches the Rfam family "Bacterial small subunit ribosomal RNA", at positions 328 to 539 of the family's 1533-position model. The record is from RNAcentral.